CCAGAGAACUUUCCAGAGAUGGAUUGGUGCCUUCGGGGAACUCUGAGACAGGUGCUGCAUGGCUGUCGUCAGCUCGUGUUGUGAAAUGUUGGGUUAAGUCCCGCAACGAGCGCAACCCUUUAUCCUUUGUUGCCAGCGGUUAGGCCGGGAACUCAAAGGAGACUGCCAGUGAUAAACUGGAGGAAGGUGGGGAUGACGUCAAGUCAUCAUGGCCCUUACGAGUAGGGCUACACACGUGCUACAAUGGCGCAUACAAAGAGAAGCGACCUCGCGAGAGCAAGCGGACCUCAUAAAGUGCGUCGUAGUCCGGAUUGGAGUCUGCAACUCGACUCCAUGAAGUCGGAAUCGCUAGUAAUCGUGGAUCAGAAUGCCACGGUGAAUACGUUCCCGGGCCUUGUACACACCGCCCGUCACACCAUGGGAGUGGGUUGCAAAAGAAGUAGGUAGCUUAACCUUCGGGAGGGCGCUUACCACUUUGUGAUUCAUGACUGGGGUGAAGUCGUAACAAGGUAAGCGUAGUGCU
This 523-nucleotide ribosomal RNA is filed under the name uncultured bacterium. RNAcentral's name for it is "bacterial SSU rRNA". It matches the Rfam family "Bacterial small subunit ribosomal RNA", at positions 988 to 1509 of the family's 1533-position model. The record is from RNAcentral.